Molecule: unclassified non-coding RNA, 305 nt
Filed under: uncultured bacterium
Lineage: Bacteria
Description: partial 16S-23S ribosomal RNA intergenic spacer
Source: RNAcentral
ACGUCGAUAGACGCCUUGAUGCAGUGCCUACACAGAUAGUCUUGUUUUUAUUGAACAACACUUAUGUUCUUUAACAAUUUGGAAAGCUGAUAUUAAUAGUAAUCAAUCAAAAUUGAGUAACUGAGAAAUCGAAAGAUGACUUUUUACUCUACUUGACUGAAUUGCUUGUUAUCAAUCGAUGAUUUGAUAGCAAGGCAAUUCUUCCGAUUAGCUUGUCAUUCAUGCGACAUAACUUAGACAGAAGUCAAAAGGCUGUUUGGGGUUGUAUGGUUAAGUGACGAAGCGUAUACGGUGGAUGCCUUGGC